UGGGAUCAAGAAAGUAUGCUCUCUCCUGGGCACUUUAAUUUACUUGAAAAACCUUUCUCUGAGGAGGAAAUUAAGACUGCAGUCUUUGGCUCUUAUGCUGAGGGAGCACCUGGUCCAGAUGGAUUUCCUUUCUUGUUUUACCAAAAGUACUGGGAUUUAAUCAAGAAUGAUCGGUUUGCUCUCUUGAGAGAUUGGGAGGCUGGAGAACUUGAUUUGUACAGACUCAAUUUCUCCCUCCUUACUUUAGGGCCUAAAGAACCUAAUGUUGUUAAGCUAGAUAGGUUCAGGCCUCUGGCCAUGAUCAAUUGUAGUUUCAAAAUUUUUGCUAAA
This 330-nucleotide ribosomal RNA is filed under the name Triticum aestivum (bread wheat). RNAcentral's name for it is "partial small subunit ribosomal RNA". The record is from RNAcentral. Lineage: Eukaryota; Viridiplantae; Streptophyta; Magnoliopsida; Poales; Poaceae.